Molecule: long non-coding RNA, 214 nt
Filed under: Elaeis guineensis (African oil palm)
Lineage: Eukaryota; Viridiplantae; Streptophyta; Magnoliopsida; Arecales; Arecaceae
Description: long non-coding RNA (EGUI_LNC060431)
Source: RNAcentral
CCUCCAUCUGUAAAUUCAUAUUUUUAAGAGUUAAAAAUUUAAUACAUGAAUUUACAUAACUAACUCAUAAACAGCUCCUAACCAUAGGAUCAUCACGAGGAUGGUGAUCGAUCCAGAAGGUUAGUGUACGAUCACUUCCUUAAGGUAGAUGUGUCUUGAGUCUACGAUGUGGAGACACCAGAGUGAGAGUAUAGGUAUUCGUUGAGAAUGAGAG